UUAUAUAUAACACUUUUUAAUCUUGUCCAUUUUUUGAGCUGUAAAGCUUUUAUUUUUUUUUUAUAGAUUUUACUAUUAUAUUCUUAGUAAUUCACAUUCAAUGAAAUCGUUUGCAAUUAUUUUAUUAAGCACAUUUUUUUUUAUAUAUGUAAGACGCACGUUUCUUUUACUUGUAUGUAUAUUUAUUUAUUAAACAUCAACGCAAGAUAUCUCACCGACCACCUUUCGCGCUGUUGCCUAGUUGCUAUAGAUAGAUUCUGUUGAUGUUGAACAACACUAAUACAAACACAUGAUCAAGUUGAGCUACCAUAUAUAUUCUACAAGCAACAAAACGAACAGAUUUAUCCCACCCGUCAACCGAAAGCCACACAAGCAAAUAAAUUUAAAGAAAACAAUAAAUAAAGCUAUUUCGUUGGCAAGAAAUUUCAGCAAGACAGCUUUAACACUGAGAGACUAGUUUGAAAAGAAACGGACAGACGUAUUUCGAUUAAGAUGGUGAUGCUGAUGAAAACAGAUUCUUAUAUACCAUAUGGAAGAAGUAUUCAGGAAAUACAUGAAAGGCAUGACAGUCAGUGGUGAAUGACACCAAUUGUUAUAUUAUUUUAAAUGCACUUACCAGUGGAUGGAGCAGCGGUAGAAUCAGAUACAACUUUGGGAGACACUAUGGGUAUUCUGAAACAAUCAAACUAUAUGAUGUAACCACAGUUGUCGUGAUAAUGUGAGACCAGGACCAGUAUGUUCAAA
Drosophila ficusphila is the source of this 744-nucleotide long non-coding RNA. RefSeq lists it as uncharacterized. The record is from RefSeq and is a predicted model, not a curated record. NCBI's taxonomy places the organism in Eukaryota, Metazoa, Arthropoda, Insecta, Diptera, Drosophilidae. The transcript is spliced from 3 exons.